Molecule: long non-coding RNA, 4132 nt
Organism: Columba livia (rock pigeon)
Lineage: Eukaryota; Metazoa; Chordata; Aves; Columbiformes; Columbidae
Exons: 4
Source: RefSeq, a predicted model, not a curated record
GUUUUUUUAAGGCAUUGAUGUCAGUGUUGCUUUCUUGAACAAAGAAUUUAUUUCAGGCCCAGCAUGUACACAGAAUGUGUUCUCCAAGGAAUAAAUCUCAUCUUCAUGGGUCAUCCAGCACUCCAUCGUAUUCAUGAAGAUGAGAACCAAAACUAGGCAUAAGUGUGCAUUAGGACAUUCAGCUAUGAUCUCAAAGUCAGAGAUUCUGGUGCCAGUCAGCUCAGUUUGGAGAACGGAUGUGAACUGUGGUCUUCUCUAGCAAGUUCUUCCCAGCUCAUCAGAAAAUGAGUCUUGAACAAGACUGUCUGAUAGUACCAAGAUUCUCUACAAAGACAAGUCACCUUGGAGAAAAGGAGCAGAGGAUGCUGGAGCCUUGUGCUGUUUGGAGCUGGAGAAGCAAUUGCUGUGAAUGUUUUCGGGACAAGCAUCUACAUCAAGGUCUCUGGUGGAUCUGAGCGCCUGGUCUGGGUGGUGCAGAGAGCCCAGUCCAGCCCUGUUCAUCCCUGUGCAGAGAGCUCUACACGGUCAAGUGGUUCACCAGCAGCCAGGAGGAGCCCAGGGCAAUAUCGUAUGCUCCAUUUAGGCUGUGCAAGUUUUUACAGGGGUGUAAAAAUAACAGGACAAAAUUUGCAGACCCCACACCAGGCAUGGAUGCUAUGCCCGUAGAAAAAGCAGAAACUUAAAUCCCAGAGAGCUUCCAAUGAGGUGAGCUAAGACAGUUGAAACUCAGUUGACUGAUUUACCAUGACUAGAUCUUUCUCUGUAUUAGCUGUAUCAGGAAUUCUUCUGAUUUGGUUUGGAGGACCAUUUUGUGAGUUCUCGCUUGGUUAUGUUAAGCUCAUUGAAGUCCACAAAGUCCAAAGACUCCUCAGUCAACUUGUGUGCAAGCCUGCAAACCUCAGGUCUGUCCGCCUUUUGGGGCUCCUCAGAGCCUGCAUUGAAGAUAAGACUGAAUGAAAACUGAAGGAAAGAUUUCUCGGCUUUGGUUUGGAUUACUCAGACUCAUCAGGCUGCAGUGAGGAUUUUGUCCUCAAGUUCUUUUUGUUAAAAUGAGGACUAAUAACCUGCACUGUGAAUAGAAUACAAUUAAUUUCCCCACUUACUGUUUUUGUAAGCAAAUCACGUUUUUUAAGGCAAGUUAAUGACAACCUUUCCUCUACAGCACUCGGCCCUAAAGACACCAAGUUGGAACAGAUGGGUAAAGCACUGGUAUUUUGCAAUAUGUUCAGAGAAAAAGCUGCACCCAGAAAUUAAAAUAAGGCUUUAGGUGUCAAAUAGCAAAGAAGGGUGGUGGUUUUUUAAGCAUAUGUUCUCGUAAGCAAGCAAAACAAUUCCGGCAGCAGCCUGGAGGGUAGAAACACCGGCUGUCAGGCAAAUCCUCUGACAUGCAAAAGCCAGUAAUUUACCACGUGAGCAGCACUGAGUGAACUUCCGAAGGCCUGCAGCCCCUGAGAUGUUUUAUACAUCUCUGGCAGUGCCAAACUGCAGCUCCAAACUCUGGGUAAAACUCUCUGUACUCUGCCCACACAAGAGGAAUGCUGGAGGUGACUCAGGAGGCAAAUGAAGACAAUUGCUCUUUUUUGCUUCAUUACCAGGAGGCCUAAAAGUCACUGUUUUCCAUAUUUUCCUUCUAAAAAGUCUUGUGUUCAGGAGAUUUUUUUUCUUUAUUUUGAUUUGUCUAUGAUAUCAAGUCUUAUUUAAGCAAUGGAUGGUGAUUACUGAGGUUUUUACUUGUUAAUCUGGGCAUAUGACGGUUUCACAAAAUUCCCCUUCCCCAGUCCUUGGUCAGGUAUCUGAAUUAAACAUGAAUACUUUGAUGUGAAUUAAUAAACACUGGAACAGGUCUUCAUUAUUUGUUCUUCUGGUUUUGAAUCUUUUAUGAAAUGUUGUGUAGACAAGUCUAUAAUCUUUAUUAUCCAGACAAGAUAUGUAAUGUAAAAGAAAGCAGAUAUGUUCAAAGAGAAGAACAACAUUUUCCGUUGUUUUCAUGUAUCGGUUUUUGUAAAAAAAAGCAGAAUACAAGUUGAAGAUAUUUAUGCUCCUUCAAAUGUCAUUAUUUUGAAAAGUUGAUAAAACAUAAUUAGAAAAAGAACUGAUUGAGACAAAAAAAAAGAAACUGGAUUUCACGCACCUGCUUGAACUUCAUAUGAUCUAGAUUAACACAGGCAGUUUCUGUAAAAGGAAAUAGUGGCAGGUACAUCUUUUGAGCCUACCCGCUGAAGAGUGGAUAAAGGAACAGCAGCAGUUACAAUUUACCAGGCUUUCUAAAGGUCUCAGAAGAAUCUUUGCAGGAGACUUUUUAAAGAAUUGAAAUAGUCAUGCAUGAGAUGUCAGGCUCUUUCAUGAAUUUGGAACUGUCAAAAAAGUUGGAAACAAAGAAUAAUGAUUUAUUUUUCCACUACAACAUAAAGUUAACCACUAGAUAGCCUAAAAGUCUACAUUACAUUCAUUAUAUUUGUUAGGUGUACUGGAAAUUUGAAAGAAGCAGCCUCUAGUGAUCAGUGAAGUAGCAAAUCUGGAAAGUUUUGCAAAUAUUAACAUAAGUUGUGUUACUAGACGACACCAAAGAUCUUUAUAGAGGUGUAAUAAAAUCAAGUGAGUGGUCAUUCUAAUGGCCAAAGAGUUUCUGUACUUUAUCAAAUGCAAAGUUAACGUGCUCUGGGAGAAAUAAUUUGAACUGUAUGCUGUGAGAUCCUUACAGAUUCAGGAAUGAGAUUUUUAUGACCCCAAACUCUGAAAAUUGUUUUAAGAAUGACUGCAGAAUAUCUAUAGAGAGGUAGAUAGAUGAGAAACCUCUCUCAAAGAUUACUUGGUCCCAAUUCAAAGCUUUGGGAGGGACUAAGUGAUCUGCCUAAGUUCCUUCCUAGUAAAAUAUGAUUUGGCAGGUCAGUGUAAAUAUUUACUGUAUAAAUAGCAGCAUUCAGAAGAGUAAUUCAUUAUGUUAAGACUUUCAUGUGUAUUUGAAUAUACAUGUACGUGUAUACAUACACUUACUUGGAAAGACGCAGAGGUACACGCCUCAGCACACUACUACUCUGUUGUAAUCAACUCCUUGUAGCUCACACACAAAGGAACUUUGUCCAGAACUACCAUUUCUCAGAAACAUAACCAGCAAGUCUCCUAACCUGCCCAAAACAUGGCAAAACUUUUACUCAAGCUUAUUUCUGGCCCAAGUGUGUUCUGCAGUGUCUGCCCUCACUCACAGAAAACUCUCUGGAUUACAUCAAUCUCAGCAUAGAUGUCCUCUGGGGAAAUGCAUCUGCAAAGCAUCAAAAAAGCAUGGGUCAAAGAAAAAACUGUUUCAUUUUAGCCUGCCUUUAUUGUUGGGGGUUUUCACAGGAGGAAAAUUUCCAGAUAGUAAUGACCUGCAGGAUAGCAACACUGUUAAUUGGAGCAUUGUAAACAACACAAAACUGAUGAAGUUGUGGCUCAAAGUCUGACCUAGACCUUUUUUUCAAAUUGUUAGUCUCUAUCUAUACCCAUAAUUUUGCAUGUUAUAUAUGUGAUAUACACAUUCCUGUGUACAUGUUUGUAGAGAUUUCUGUUCUAGCUACAUUAGAAGAGCCAAUAUGCAACAAGAGAUGCAGUUCUUGUAGUACUUCAGAAAGUAAGGCAAGCAAUCCUUAAUAUAUGCAUAUAAAUAGACACUAUUGCAAGAUUAUCAACAUUUUCAAGUUUUAUUAAGAAUUAAGCCUGCUUGUCAGUCAAAGUUGGUGGUAUAGGUCAGCUUUUCCACUUCUAUUAAUUCCAAUGUAGCUCUGCCAGCAUUAACCAAGCUGCACCAGUGUGUAUCAGCUGAGUAGCUGGCUUUUAGAAAUAUAGUUAUUUUCCUACCUUGACCUCAAGCUGUUUGGAAAAGGACUAAUACUAGAAAUACUUGUUCCUGGAGUGAAUAUUUCUCUCUAUUCCAUUUACUUUCUUCAUCAGUUACCUUAUUUUUUUUCUUUGUAAGGAGAAAACUUCAGGCUUUCAUAGAAACCUCAUUACUAAGUUAUUAAGUGUGUGAAACCUCAUUCCUACAGCAGCACUGAGUUUAUAAAAUAUAGAUGAACUCCAUCAACAAAAGGAAAAAAAAUACUAGGACAUUGAGCGAGACUUCCAUAACUUUAUUUAAAUACUGUUGCCAUAUGUG